Molecule: ribosomal RNA, 468 nt
Filed under: uncultured bacterium
Lineage: Bacteria
Description: partial 16S ribosomal RNA
Rfam family: Bacterial small subunit ribosomal RNA
Source: RNAcentral
GACGAACGCUGGCGGCGUGCUUAACACAUGCAAGUCGAACGGAAAGGCCCUGCUUUUGUUGGGUGCUCGAGUGGCGAACGGGUGCGUAACACGUGAGUAACCUGCCCUUGACUGUGGGAUAACUUCAGGAAACUGGGGCUAAUACCGGAUAGGAGCUCCUGCUGCAUGGUGGGGGUUGGAAAGUUUCGGCGGGUGGGGAUGGACUCGCGGGUUAUCAGCUUGUUGGUGGGGUAGUGGCUUACCAAGGCUUUGACGGGAAGCGGGCCUGAGAGGGUGAGCGGCGACAUUGGGACUGCGAUACGGCCCAGACUCCUACGGGAGGAAGCAGUGGGGAAUAUUGCACAAUGGGCGGAAGCCUGAUGCAGCAACGCCGCGUGCGGGAUGACGGCAUUCGGGUUGUAAACCGAUUUCGCCUGUGACGAAGCGUGAGUGACGGUAAUGGGUAAAGAAGCACCGGCUAACUACGUG